UACGAACUGUGCGAACGUUAUUCGGAAUCACUGGGCUUACAGGGUGCGUAGGCGGCCUUUCAAGUCAGGUGUGAAAGCCCCCGGCUCAACCGGGGAACUGCGCUUGGAACUGAAAGGCUCGAGUCAGCUAGAGGUACACGGAACUUCCAGUGGAGCGGUGAAAUGUGUUGAUAUUGGAAGGAACACCGGCGGCGAAGGCGGCCCACUGGUCCGGUACUGACGCUGAGGUGCGAAAGCUAGGGGAGCAAACGGG
Molecule: ribosomal RNA, 253 nt
Filed under: uncultured bacterium
Lineage: Bacteria
Description: partial 16S ribosomal RNA
Rfam family: Bacterial small subunit ribosomal RNA
Source: RNAcentral